RNAcentral lists this ribosomal RNA (433 nucleotides) under uncultured bacterium. RNAcentral describes it as "partial 16S ribosomal RNA". It matches the Rfam family "Bacterial small subunit ribosomal RNA", at positions 29 to 507 of the family's 1533-position model. The record is from RNAcentral.
AACGAACGCUGGCGGCAGGCCUAACACAUGCAAGUCGAGCGCGCCCUUCGGGGUGAGCGGCGGACGGGUGAGUAACGCGUGGGAACGUGCCCUUCUCUGCGGAAUAGCCUCGGGAAACUGAGAGUAAUACCGCAUACGCCCUUUGGGGGAAAGAUUUAUCGGAGAAGGAUCGGCCCGCGUUGGAUUAGGCAGUUGGUGGGGUAAUGGCCCACCAAGCCGACGAUCCAUAGCUGGUUUGAGAGGAUGAUCAGCCACACUGGGACUGAGACACGGCCCAGCCUCCUACGGGAGGCAGCAGUGGGGAAUCUUAGACAAUGGGGGCAACCCUGAUCGAGCCAUGCCGCGUGAGUGAUGAAGGCCUUAGGGUUGUAAAGCUCUUUCAGCUGGGAAGAUAAUGACGGUACCAGCAGAAGAAGCCCCGGCUAACUCCGUG